This 1139-nucleotide long non-coding RNA is filed under the name Gallus gallus (chicken). Its description in RNAcentral is "lncRNA (ENSGALG00010017293.1)". Lineage: Eukaryota; Metazoa; Chordata; Aves; Galliformes; Phasianidae. The record is from RNAcentral.
GUGAGUUAGCCCUGCAGGAGGAUGAGGCAGGAGUUGAGACGCUAUAAGUGGACUAAGUGGCCAAAGCCUGUGACAUUAAGGAGUAGGAAAGGAUGCUGAGAGGAUAAUCUCAGAGAUGCAGCUCUCCAGCUGAUGAAAAUCAGAAGAGCCAGAUAAUCACUGAGAGGGAUUCCCACCUAGAAAGAAGGCAAUUGCAGGGGCUUUAAGAAAAAGGGUGCAGUAGUUGCUCCAGUUCUGCCUGUCAUUCCUGCACCACUGCCUUUCCAAGCACUGUCUCUUAAGAUGCUGGAGGAGGGGCUGAGGCCCUUUUAAUGAAGUGAAAGGAUGAGCGGGAGGCUGACCAGAACAGCAGUGGAAAGAGCAAAGACACAUGCUGAGAGCCCUGUGCAUGGGGAAACCAGAGCCGCAGCUUGUUCCAGACCCCGGAGCCUCUGAAGCACAGAUGUCUCCAGGAAAUCUUCAUGCUUCACCCCAACAGAGCUCUGGCCAGGAAAAGAAUCUCCUUGGUCUAUUUUAAGUUGUAAAAGGAAAGAAUAUGAGACUCUUCCUAAAUUCUUGAAACCGGUAUCUGGGCCUCUGGGAAUGAAGAAAGACUCUGACUGUGACUGCAUUUAGGGCUCUGGCUGCUGUACAUCUACAUCUUGACAAGUUGACAUCUUUCAAAGACCUUCAGCAAGAAGUUCCCAGCAGAAGCAGAGACUAGAAAGGUGUUCUCAGCUGAGCAGCAGCUCAUCGCGUUGGCAUUUCCUUACAGAGGAUCACAGAAUUACGAAGGUUGGAAAAGAGCACUAAGAUCAUCUAGCCCAGCUGUCAACCCAUUGCCACCAUGCCCACUAAGCCGUGUCCCUAAGUGGGUGCUCAUUGCUUCAGGUCACACAGAAUCCUACUUUUUGCCCUUUGGGGAUCACUUGCUGCCGAUUCCCAACACGGCCACGCACGAGCUCUACCAGCUUUCAACCACACCUCCUAUUUCAGAUUCAUGCAGGGAGCUUGAAGUCGAUUCCUACCCCAAGAAUAAACACCAUUAAAAUCAAACAGCCACUCGAAAUCUGUCACAUACAGGACUCUGGGACAACAGAGAAAAGUUACUUCUGAAGCCAUUCUCCCGUUAUCUCUCUUAUUGCCAGAAGAAGGAGUGG